AGACGAUCGACUAGAGCGGCCCAUGUAGUUCAAAGGUAUGAUCCAGAAACAAGAUCACUGGAUCUGCUGAGAGAAAGAAGAUGGGCUGAAUCUGAACGCAUCAGGAAAAGGAAAUAUCGCUAAAUAUGAAUCUGGACGUUCGACUACCAAAUUAUGAUGUGCCUCAAGAACAGCUAAGAUCAUUUUAAAAAAUAAUUAUUAUUAAAAAAUAGCCCAGAAUUUUUUAUGUUGAGUGCAGAAUCACCAAAAAAGAAUUUUUGUUUUGUUUUUUGAAUUCAAUGAAAUGGUAUAUCCUUAUGGAAAAAUUUGCAUUUCACAAAUAUUGCGAUGCAUUACUGUGUUAAAAAUGAAUUUCUUUGAAUCUUUUUUUUCUUCUUAAAUGCGUCUAGUUUACGGAUUUGGCAAUUUUUUAAAAUCAACUAUUCUCACAACGAUUUUAAUGAACGGUUAACUUAUAUAGUUUCUUAAUGAAGCUCCUACAGAAGUACUACAGAAGAAAUGCUAUUAAUACACAUUGAAUUUCAGUCUUGCAGAUUAAUACGUCUUUUAUUACAAUAAUAAUGAAAGAAACAAUUGGAAGAAGGUUAAAAAAAAUGUUGUUUGCUAAAUCGGAAUUUGUCUAAGAGCACUUUAACAAUAAACUUAACUAAAUUAUUUAUUUUAAAUGAACAAUAUGUAUUUAUAUCAGGGUAUUACUCUUAGCAAGAGCCACACAUUUUUGGAGAACAAAGCUACGCAGAUUACAUUUUUUUUCUUGUCAUUCCAGUUAGAUCAUCAAAGAAAAGUAUAAAUGUUGGCUCGUUUAUGCAUCGCAUGAAUCAUUUUUAAACGCUUUUUUUUUUACUUGGCUUAAAUUUACCAAAAAUGGAUCCUUUUUCGAAUACAACUAGCUAAAAAUUUAAAGUUUUUUUUUUUUUAAUAUUUCAUAGAAUUGAUAAACAACGUGAUGUAGAAAAAGCAUACACAAUUUCAAUAAGAUUGGUGCAUUAUUUUUUGAGAAAUCUCGAGUCUGUAGCAAGGAUAUAAUUUUGUAAGGCGGUCUUCGAAAAUCAGUUCGCAAAUCAAAAUUAACAGACCGCAUUUUUUGAUGGAAACUUCACGAAAUUCGGCUAUCACUAUUGCGUGACUCUUUUUAAACUCUGGAAAUCCGAGUGCUCGCUUAUGAGGACACAUAUAUGAUAAUUAUGGACACGUAUGAUGUAGAUUUACACGCAUUUUUUAUGAUAGAAAUUCCAUGAACAGAAGAAAUAAUUAAGGCCGAUGAAUAUCUUCUCUUCCAAAUAACGUGCCCAAUUAAAAAUACAUAAAUAAAAAUUAUAUAGUACUAAAAUUAAAAUUUUUGUUGAUAGCACAAAAUUUAUCGUUUUUUUUUUUAAUUGAUUAGUUCAAUAUAUCCACAUUAUCUUUGAGUGUCCAGCAAUGAGUGAUAAUCUGAGAAAAAUAUGAGUUUUGCCGUCAUUGAUUGACCUUUAUGACGAUAACAUCAAGCAAAUCGCAGAAGCAGUAAUCAAGACUCAUGGAAACAUAUUCGCCAUAUUGAUUCGGCUAUGUCAUAGACACGACAAAAAAAAAAUAGAUCUACGCCCCCUCCCCCCGAUUGUCAUGAAAUGACAACGGCUUUGAGAGACCUUUUGUCGAGACGAAAAUAUCUGAAAGGAUAAAUAAUUAAAAACAGCAAGUUGACUUGAUGAAUACAUAAGUAUUUGGCUACUUCAAACUAAUCAUUUUAUAUUUAAACUACAAGAAAGUUAAGAGAAAUUGCACAGGAGAUCUUAUACUGAUUUUCACAAUUUUUUGUUGAAAGGUACUAUAAAUUUAUCAAUCAUACUUAAGCGUCUGAAUUUUUUUUUUCUUUGUUUUAAUAUUUAUAUAGUUCUUUUAAGUGAUUUCUAGGGGAGAGUUCAAAAACAUAGUAUUUAAAUUUCAAGUAUCUGGCAGACAAAACGGAAUAGAUUGCGACGAAUAGAUAAGAUUGUUGUUGUUUAGAUGAAAGACUGCUUCUAACCAACGUAUUUUUUUUCCAUUCAUUAUUUUAGUAUUACGUUAUUCCAAACGUUUUUUCGCAUACUUUAUUGUAAACGUUAACUUAAUAAAAUGUUCUUACCAUAAAAUGACUUCACAUUGUAACAGCCACUUUCAGAGGAACUACAGGGGAUAUUAUAUGGAGCGCCGAUUAUACACAAAUGCCUAUCCAUCUAUCUUUUUUUAUAUAAAAAGUGUUCAAAAGUCAAGUAGAUUUAAGUUAAUAAUUAAUGGUUUAUUAACGUUUGACGAAUAAUUUAAAACGUUCAUUACGUCUCUGAAAAUAUAACUCAUUAAUCAACAGUGAAUAUAUAUUUAUUUAUCGUUUUUAUACUGUUCGACUUAUCUACUUUACCUCUGAAUGCUUCAUACAUCUAUCAAGCUAUCUCUGUCAAUAUACAUUUCUAUCUAUGUACGCAAUCGAUGCUCUACACAACAACCCAUGUAGUUAUCAUGCUCGUAAAUAGUUACUCCGUACUAGUAAGUACUGGACAAAGUUCGAAAAAAAACCUUCUUCAAAGAAAAUGGAAAAGUUACCGAAUAGUAAAUAUUAACGAGGCGCUUUUUUUCCCUCUAUAAUUUUAUAUCAAUGCCAGUGACAUUGUAAUCAAAACAAUGCGUCGGUUAGAAGUAAUCAUUUUCACUCGAAUUCAUUUCAACAUUUUUACUCGAAAAUUGAAAAAUCGAAUAAUACUAGGUGAAUAACUCUCCUAAUAACUCAUCAGUUACAAAGACGGAUGUUAAUACACACAGAAAAUGUUUAUCAAGUGAAUAACACGUGUUCGUUAAACCGCAGGAUUCGCCAUAUCGAGCGUCAACUGUAUGUAUACAUGUCUAUCUAUCCAUCUAGCUAUCUAUCGAUCUAUCUUUAAAUAUGGGUGUUCAUAGUUAAAGAAGAUUGAGUCCAAAAAUGAUAGUUUAAAAAAUAACCUAUUAUGAAUAUCAUUUGAAUUCUACGGGAUUUUAAAAUAGAGUAGUUCAUUUGAUAAUAUAACUUGUUUCUUAACUAUCAGAAAUACUUUCAUCAAUAAAGGUAUUAUUACGUAACUUUGCACUUUUGGACCUUAUUUACUUCAGCUCUGAACGCUUCAUAUAGGUAUCUAGCUAAUUUUCCAAUGUAUUUGCAUACGUUUCUGUCUAUAUGCAUACAGUCAACGCUCAAUAUAAUGAUCAUCUAGUUAUUUAUUCAUAAAUACCAUAAACUAACGGAUUGACUUUCUAGUGCCAGAAGAAAUAUUUUAGCUUUGUUCUUAUGUUCAUAAAUGUAUACAAAUGUCGUUUAAAAUAUCGUAUUAAAAGUUAAAACGAUAUGCUUGUUAAAAGGAAUCGUUUUCUUCAAUUAACACACGAUCAGAUAAUCGCAUAAUAUGACAAAAGCAUUAUCUAGAAAGAUGUCAAUACCGGGUGAGUUAACUCAUAAUAAUAAAUUUACAGUACCUUUCAGAAAUAAACUUAAGUAGAUGAGCAAUUCAUAUAAUGCCGAGGAUAAUAUUUGUAGUUUUAGAAAAUUCAGUCCUAUUUUUUUAGAUUCUUAGUUUUAGAGAAAUGUUUUAGUCCUCUUGAACAAUUUUUUUUUCGAUAUUAGGAGAUCUAACUCUCUAACUAUAAACUAUCAUUGGUUAGUUUUUAAGAAAAAAAAUAGUAAUGCUAAAGUCAUUGUAUGCAUAGGGGUCACACACCUGACUUAUACCCCAGUUUCCUUAUCGGUGAAAAGCUUCAACGUGCAGCAUCGAUAGCAAACCAUCAACCACGAGUUCGUUUUCUGUGCUAUAAAUAAGUUUUAUGCUGUGGCUUACGAUUUCAUAACUCAUUGCAGCUUGGGAUUUUAUAGGUUUUGAAGCUUGUUUUAAAAAAAUAAUACAAUCGAAAUAACUACCUCUUGAGUUUUAAGCGAUAAAAGUGUUUAAAAAAACAUUUCAAAAAGUUAUUCCUUAAAAACUCCAAGAACGGGUGUUCAGGGGAUUUAGUGCAAUGUGAAGGCAAAGCUUGAUGGUUACAACGUGCUACCUCGUUAGGGGACUUCAAGCUAAAAACAAAAUACUAAUAAUAAAUACAAAUAAUAAAUUUUACCGAGGCUGAAAUCGAAAUUAAAGCAAAUCAUUGAGUCCUAUGAACGCCUUUUACAAGUCAUCAUUGUUCCAAACACAACUGAGAGCCGAUUAGUAUUCGACAUCUCAUGAAAUGUCUGAAAAGAGAAUGAAAUGUCUCAUGAAAUGUACAGAAUCUCACAGGAUGUUUUAUCGGUGUCUUAAGGAAAUAGUGAAAAUCAAUCUGUUGUUGUUGUGGCUUAUCCUCCAAAUGCCUGACGAAGUCAGACAAGGUCCAUCAGACCGUUGACCCUAAGAAAAUCGAGGACCAGAAGGGAAGAUGAGUAUAUACCUCCCGAUGGUGUUCCUGCCUUGUCGAGGCGGUGAGGCUUGUGCGUACCAAUGACCCGGAGGGCUAUGCCGGAUGUAGCUUGCUACUGGUAGGGUCUCCCAAGCCGGAUAGGCCAAAGGGUAGGUGCCAGACGAAAAAGAACACCAACACGAGCCGAGACUGACUUCUACCUAUAUGGUGCUCAGAUCCCCAGAUCAACAGAAGAUUUUUUUUAAAUUCACUUUCAUUUUUUUUUUAUAAAUCGUGGGCAGACUUUAUUAUUUUUUUUGGGAGAACCUGACAUUGAAUGAAUGGCGCCUCUGGCGCGGCUUAACAGCCCGUAAGUCGAUUGAAUCUAGACCUCUGGCGUGGCCUAAAAACCCGCAAGUCUGAAUGAAAGGGCAACCUCUGGCGUGGUCUAAUCACCCGCAAGUUUAAUGAUGUAUGUGUGUAGUGUGUGAAUGAAGUGUGAAUGAUAAUGUCAGGGGAUUCCAACUAAACCAUAAAUUAAUUGCAACUAAUUUUUUAAAAAAUUAAAUUUCAUUAUUAUUAAAUAAUUACAUAAAUUCCUUUUUCUUUCUUAAGAAUAAUAUAAUGAUAAAUUUAAACAAUCCUUUAUUUGAUUAGAAUUGUUACGAACGCAGAAUAUAUUAGUGUCUUCAAUAAUUUAUUUUAAAUUUACGAUUCUGAUUAUUAAAUAAAUCACACAAAUUACUAUGGUAAUUACAAUUAAUUCCUUAUUCAUAAUUACGAUUCUCACAAAUCAAUAUCGAAAAAAGAAAAAAAAAACUGCAGUUAGUACGAUUUCGGCAUGAAAAUUAUUUGCAUAUCUAGAUCUAGAAAAGAAAUAUCUAUAAUAUUAUACUGCUUUGUUCUCCAAAACUGUUAAAAAUGUAAAUUAAAGGAAUCUUCAAUUCAUCAUUUGUAAAGUUUUAA
Parasteatoda tepidariorum (common house spider) is the source of this 5316-nucleotide non-coding RNA. The record is from RefSeq and is a predicted model, not a curated record. Lineage: Eukaryota; Metazoa; Arthropoda; Arachnida; Araneae; Theridiidae.